UAAUAUCGUUUAACCUUUAAUGAAUAAAAUGUAUAAAUAAAUUAAAAAUUAAAAACGAAAUUUUAAUUGAUUUUGAUUAGAUAAUUGAUUAAUAUUAAGAAUAGUAAGAAUUAUCCAAAAUUUGAAAAUAUAAUUUAAAAAAGGGAUAACUUUUGUAUAUCUAUAUUAUUAAAACUGAAGUACAUUUGAGAGUUGUUUGGGUAUAUGAAUAGUAGGAUUAAUAAAAACUGUUUUGUUUGGAUGCAUAGAUAUAGUUAAUACUUUAGAUUUUAAUUUAAAAAUUCGACAUGCUUUUUAAAAACGUGAACAAAACAAAAUAAGGCAUAUAUUUAAUACUUUAGAUUUUAACUUAAAAUAGGAUUAAUAAAAACGGCUAGAUUUUAAUAGAACGUAACUUCCAAGUUAAAAAUAAGGCAUAUAUUUCAAAAACAAAAUAUACACAAAAUCUAAACUUAACAAAAACAUAAUUCCAACACAUUAACUCCACAUAUAUCGAUCUUACAAACUAACAUAUCUAAACGAGAAUCCUAAUUACUUGAUUCCCUCAUUUCACACCUUCUUUAUCCAAUUUUCAAAUAAUAAAUUAUCAAAACCACUUUUAAGUAUAACGACCGAAUAUUCUCUUUUUGUGCUAACAAAUUUAGUUACUUAGGCAACUAAUAUAUAUCUUGCUUGAUUGACUCCACAAAAAUCGUGCUAUUAAAUUUUUAAAAAAAUUCUUUAGAUUACGUAUAACCCACUAUAUAUAUAAACCUUCCCCUCAUAUUCUUCAUACUCACCGUAGCAAAGAAAAAAAAAACUAAAAUGUCUAACAAGUAAAGUAGUUUGGUUUUGUCGAACAAGCAGAGUUUAGUUUUUCUUAACCAAGUCAAACCCUUCAAAGACACUUGGCGAGUACAUGUGAAGUGUCUUCACUCAUGUAAGAUAAACAACAACUCUGGUGAAUCUCUCGAAUGCGUUCUCGUGGAUGAACAAGGUGAGAAACUUCAUGCUUCUGCCAAAAGAAAUCAGAUGUAUCGUCUACAGCGCAACCUUCCUAUUGGUGAAUGGCGGUUUAUUGAGAACUUUACAGUUACGAGUGCUGGAGGUCAAUAUCGAAUAACUACCUCUCCAAAUUACAUUUAUUAUUUUAUCUUUGUUUUUCUAUUAUUAUUAUUUAUUUAUGUGAAAAAAAUUAUUUUAAAAACCUUAUUCUUACAUAUUUUAAAAGUAUUUAUCAUAUAUUAAGAACAAACAGUUUCUGAUGUAAUAUAUAUUGCCUUUUCAACAUUUUUUUCAUUAAUUAUAAAUAAGGUUCCCCAAUAAUUGUAUUAAGAUAGAUUAUAAUAAUAUAGAUUUUAAAUACUGUAUAACAAUUUGACAGAUCUUACACAUCGAGUUACGAAAUAUAUAAUACACAUGAUUUUUUAACCAUAUUGAAUUGAUAUAUUUGGCUUCGUGUAAUUUUCCAUAAACAAAUGAAUAUACAUAAAAUAGAAUAUGUAUUUUUCAUAAAGCUGUAAAUUUGUUAAAACCUAAAUAAAAUAUUGUUUGUUCUCAACAUUUCAAGAUUACACAAUACAGUGACGAAAUACAAAGUUUAAACAGUAAACUUUAAUAAUACAAAUUCGUUCAACUAAAUUAAGAUCUGCAAAUGUUUAUAUAUAUAUCAUAAAAAUAUAGACCCGCCCAGUCGGGCGGGUUAAGAUCUAGUAUUGUAUUGUUAUCUGAAAAAGUCUUUAAGUUUUUUUUUUUUUCCCAAAUUGUUUUUAUUAAUAGAUGGGCCAAGCCCAGGGCCGAAGCCCAAACAUAACAGAAAUUAAACAAACCCCACGAAACGGGCCAGAAGACAUAAACAAACAAUGGGCCAAGCCCAGGAAAUACACGACGGCCACACGGCCCAAACAACUAUAAACCGGGCCGUUCGCCCUAGACACUACCGCCGGAGCUCCGAACCUGCAGAGCCUCCGCACGUACACACACGUUCACCGCCGUACUGUCUUCAUGCCGGAGGGUUCAUCAGAUAACCGAGAACGCCUCCGACUUUGGACCACCAGAAACGGUGGACAGUCGAACCGAGAACCGCAAAAACUUCUUCUAAAAACUUCAUCGCCGUCGCCGGAGAGCUUAAACUGAUAUCUCAUCGACGGCGACCCACGAACCCCUCACAGAUUACAAGAACCAAACCGCCUCUACCAACCUCGAUCUAAUCUACUCCGCAAAGUUUUCACGCCAGAGAAUUUCACCGCCACAUCACGGCUUCUCCGACUUUGAACCACCUCAAACACUGGACAUGCGAAACGAGAACCACCACUUUCUCCCUUUAAACCCUCGUCACCACCACCGGAGGGCUUCAUCGACUACCGAGAAAGCCAACCGCCGUGACCCAAACUCUAACUUUAACCCUAGAAAAAACCCGAUCCAAAAUCAGAUCACAAACCGCUCCAGAAAAGCCCAAAGACCUGGACCCACUUUAGCCGACAGCGCAAGACAUAGGGAGUCUUCACCCUCCGGCGACAAACUCGGCGACGGCGAAGCUGGCAAAGCCUUCGUCUCCCGAUAACAGAACCGACGUCGACGAGGCUGACUCAGCCUCCGUCUCUCGGAGAUAAAACACAAACUGGACAAAACGGACAGCUUCCCCGCACCAGCCUCAACGUGACCGCGCCGUUACUCCAGAACGAGAACCACCGUGGGUGCUUGUUUCAGAGCUAAGGCAAGGCGGAGAGGAGAGGAGGCGAGCUAGAAACGAGAACCACGAGCUUGAUUGGUCACACAAAGGAGCUCCGGCGACGGCACGCACGCUCACGCGCCGUCCGUCGCCGGAAAAAAACUAGAUCUACUUUAUCUCCUUGAGGCUUUCAACACGGUUUCUCGAGUUCACCAUUAAGUUAAAAAGUCUUUAAGUUAAAAAAUUAAAAACAUAAAACUAUAUAACUAAAUAUAAUUAAAUAAAAUUAUUAAUUAUAUAAUUAAAAACCGCGUUAAAAAGUUUAACAUUUAAAAAAAAACACAUACUCUUUUAAAAAUAGUGAAAACCACGUUAAAAAGUUUAACAUUUAAAAAAAAAAUAUGAAUCAAUAAUAAUAAUAUAAAAUUUUAUCCGAAAAACUCAGCAAUAAAUGCAUAAACAAAAAAACAAACAAACUCUAAACCCUAUAAACCUAAGCAUUAUUUUAAACCAAAUCCUAAACCCAAUCUAAACCAAACGCUAAACCAUUCUUACUACCUAAACCUUAAAUCCUACCUAACCCUAAACCCUACCUAAACCAGACCUUAACCCUAU
Brassica rapa (field mustard) is the source of this 3265-nucleotide long non-coding RNA. RefSeq lists it as uncharacterized. The record is from RefSeq and is a predicted model, not a curated record. Lineage: Eukaryota; Viridiplantae; Streptophyta; Magnoliopsida; Brassicales; Brassicaceae.